CACGUAGGAGGCGAGCGUUGUCCGGAAUCAUUGGGCGUAAAGAGCGCGCAGGCGGCUUGGCAAGUCGGGUGUGAAAUCCCGGGGCUCAACCCCGUGACUGCAUCCGAUACUGUCAGGCUAGAGGUAGGUAGGGGAGAUCGGAAUUCCUGGUGUAGCGGUGAAAUGCGCAGAUAUCAGGAAGAACACCGAUGGCGAAGGCAGCUCUCUGGGACGGUACUGACGCUGAGACGCGAAAGCGUGGGGAGCGAACAGG
Molecule: ribosomal RNA, 253 nt
Filed under: uncultured bacterium
Lineage: Bacteria
Description: partial 16S ribosomal RNA
Rfam family: Bacterial small subunit ribosomal RNA
Source: RNAcentral